Molecule: long non-coding RNA, 1000 nt
Organism: Ornithorhynchus anatinus (platypus)
Lineage: Eukaryota; Metazoa; Chordata; Mammalia; Monotremata; Ornithorhynchidae
Exons: 5
Source: RefSeq, a predicted model, not a curated record
AAAAAAGGGAGUCUGGAAGAAAUGAAAGCCAUGAGCAACGACUGCAAAGCAAACCAAAUUUCUAGCCAUUUAAAAACACACAGCCUGGCAAGGAAUCACUGCAGUCACGAUAAAAACUAUUCUCCCAUUGGAGUGGAAGCUCCUUCCGGCAGAGAACAGCUUCUGCAUAGUGGCGGCAGUCGAAGGGAAGGAUGAUGGAGUCUGCCAAUUGGAAGACCAACCCUCCUCGAACCUGGGCCACCGUGAGUCCAUUGAUUUGCUGAGAGAGCAGGGAUUCAGCUACGGACACGAAGGAAUAACUUUCUUACUAACUUCUGAAGAUUUAACAACAUGAGACAUGGAAGCAUUUUCGCACCAUUAAUACUGUAGGGGAAAAGCCCCCAAAUUUGCAAUGUAGAGCAUACUCUGUCAAUUCCCAGGAAGACAUGUAUUUACCAAGGAACGCCGAUGAAUUCAUCUGAAGGAUUUUUCUCGUACCAGCUUUCAAAGAGAGAUUUAUCUUCAAAACCUUCAUCAGGGCUUGGGAGCUGCAGGACAUUUCCAACGGAUAAAGAUCAGAUUGGUUUCGCACUCUGACAGUGGGAACAACAAUGAAAGUCAGAACUCAGCCAAUUUCACCCAAGAAAUCCUACGUUUCGCUUCGCUGCUAGUCACAGGACACUCUUGACGGGAAAACUGGUUGGAAACAAGAAUGUUUAAAGUGUUUAUAGCAGGGUCACAUCCACACACACACCCCCUUCUAGAAAUGUUGUUUAUUGGGGCCACGCUGAAAUUAAGUGUGGGACGGGGACUGUGUCUGACCUGACUUAAUUCUAUCUAUCGUUCAGUGCAGCGGGUAACAUAAACCACAGUUAUUACGAUUAUGAUGAUUGUCACAACUUUUCUUUGCUUCAGUUUUCUCACCUGUAAAAUUCUUUUAUUAUCUCUGUGGGCCUGGUGGGACCAGGACUGUCUUUGAUCUGAUUAUCUGUACCAUGUACCUGAUUAUCUUGUAUCUUGG